This 401-nucleotide long non-coding RNA is filed under the name Olea europaea subsp. europaea. The record is from RNAcentral. Lineage: Eukaryota; Viridiplantae; Streptophyta; Magnoliopsida; Lamiales; Oleaceae.
AGCAAGCGAAUCAGAAAGACUGUGGCCUCUCUCAUGCAACUUCGCCAAGGACCAAAUGAAACCCUACGAGGAUUUAUGACGAGGUUUAACAAAGAAAGGCUUCAAAUACCCGACCUUCAUAUCACAGCGGCUGUCUCCGCCCUCACUUACGCCAUAAGAUGUAAAGCUUUCAAGAUAUCCUUAUCAAAGACCCCGUCGCAGACAGUGACCGAGCUCCUCACCCGAGCUGAAAAAUACAUUAAUAUGGAGGAAACACUAAUCCAAGGAGAUCUGGUCCUUCCCAUGAAAAGGCCGAAAACAAAAAGCAACAUGAUCCCAUUUCCCGGCCAGAGUAUCCUUGGGAAAAGCACAAGAAUGAAGGUCCAUCAGGGCCUCUCACCCGAUUAAACACCUCCAAGGCA